UACGUAGGGCGCAAGCGUUAUCCGGAAUUACUGGGCGUAAAGCGUGCGCAGGCGGUUUUGUAAGUCUGUCGUGAAAUCCCCGGGCUCAACCUGGGAAUUGCGAUGGAGACUGCAAGGCUAGAAUCUGGCAGAGGGGGGUAGAAUUCCACGUGUGAGCAGUGAAAUGCGUAGAGAUGUGGAGGAACACCGAUGGCGAAGGCAGCCCCUGGGUCA
This 213-nucleotide ribosomal RNA is filed under the name uncultured bacterium. RNAcentral describes it as "partial 16S ribosomal RNA". It matches the Rfam family "Bacterial small subunit ribosomal RNA", at positions 524 to 736 of the family's 1533-position model. The record is from RNAcentral.